UACGUAUGGUGCAAGCGUUAUCCAGAUUUACUGGGUGUAAAGGGAGCGCAGGCGGUACGGCAAGUCUGAUGUGAAAGCCCGGGGCUCAACCCCGGUACUGCAUUGGAAACUGUCGGACUAGAGUGUCGGAGGGGUAAGUGGAAUUCCUAGUGUAGCGGUGAAAUGCGUAGAUAUUAGGAGGAACACCAGUGGCGAAGGCGGCUUACUGGACGAUUACUGACGCUGAGGCUCGAAAGCGUGGGGAGCAAACAGG
RNAcentral lists this ribosomal RNA (253 nucleotides) under Roseburia intestinalis L1-82. Its description in RNAcentral is "partial 16S ribosomal RNA". It matches the Rfam family "Bacterial small subunit ribosomal RNA", at positions 524 to 776 of the family's 1533-position model. Lineage: Bacteria; Bacillati; Bacillota; Clostridia; Lachnospirales; Lachnospiraceae. The record is from RNAcentral.